Molecule: unclassified non-coding RNA, 353 nt
Filed under: Hevea brasiliensis (rubber tree)
Lineage: Eukaryota; Viridiplantae; Streptophyta; Magnoliopsida; Malpighiales; Euphorbiaceae
Source: RNAcentral
UAUCUCAACUCCACUUGACAAUGUCCCCUUAAAUACAGUGUAAUCAACGUAGGUACUUAUGAUAUUACUAAAAUCCUCACAAGCAAUUUCCAGUUCUGCUCGAUUUAACUUUGGCACCCCGGUUACAAAUGCCUUUUGCAACUGACCACUUAGCCCAGUCUUCCAAGGACCUAUCGUAGCCACUCCAUGGCUGCGGCACGUCCAAAGCAUGACUGCAACAAUGGCAAGUAGUGCAACGCCCAAAAGAACCAGAAGAUAUAUCCACCUUCCAAGCCCCUUACUUGAUUGCUUACUCACAGAAUCAGUUGGCCUCGUUGAGGAUGGUUGUGUAGGAGGGGUGGGUAAACUUUGAG